AAAUGCGAUAAGUAAUGUGAAUUGCAGAAUUCAGUGAAUCAUCGAAUCUUUGAACGCACCUUGCGCUCCUUGGUAUUCCUUGGAGCAUGCCUGUUUGAGUAUCAUGAAAUCUUCAAAGUAAAUCUUUUGUUGACUCAAUUGGUUUCUACUUUGGUAUUGGAGGUCUUUGCAGCUUCACACCUGCUCCUCUUUGUUCAUUAGCUGGAUCUCAGUGUUAUGCUUGGUUCCACUCGGCGUGAUAAGUUAUCUAUCGCUGAGGACACUGUAAAAGGUGGCCAAGGUAAAUGCAGAUGAACCGCUUCUAAUAGUCCAUUGACUUGGACAAUACUUUUAUGAUCUGAUCUCAAAUCAGGUAGGACUACCCGCUGAACUUAAGC
RNAcentral lists this unclassified non-coding RNA (377 nucleotides) under plant metagenome. RNAcentral's name for it is "partial contains 5.8S ribosomal RNA, internal transcribed spacer 2, and large subunit ribosomal RNA". The stretch from base 1 to 104 matches the Rfam family "5.8S ribosomal RNA", at positions 51 to 154 of the family's 154-position model. The record is from RNAcentral.